Molecule: unclassified non-coding RNA, 301 nt
Filed under: uncultured Symmetrospora
Lineage: Eukaryota; Fungi; Basidiomycota; Cystobasidiomycetes
Description: sequence contains 5.8S rRNA gene
Rfam family: 5.8S ribosomal RNA (bases 1-53)
Source: RNAcentral
GAACGCACCUUGCACUCUUUGGUAUUCCGAAGAGUAUGUCUGUUUGAGUGUCAUGAAACUCUCAACCCCCUCAUUUUGUAAUGAAGUGAGUCGUGGGCUUGGAUUAUGGCUGUCUGUCGGCUUCAUUGCCGGCUCAGCUGAAAUACACGAGUAACCCAGUUUGAAAAACUGACGGCUUGACUCGGCGUAAUAAUUAUUAUCGCUGAGGACGUCUAACCUUCAAAUCGUUAGUGGUGCUUCUAAUGCAAAUCAUUUUAAGAUUUAGACCUCAAAUCAGUCAGGAUUACCCGCUGAACUUAAG